Molecule: long non-coding RNA, 316 nt
Filed under: Lathyrus oleraceus (garden pea)
Lineage: Eukaryota; Viridiplantae; Streptophyta; Magnoliopsida; Fabales; Fabaceae
Description: Pisum sativum (pea) long non-coding RNA (PSAT_LNC038826)
Source: RNAcentral
AACACUUUAGAGCGGAACCCCCUUGAGUCCGCUCUCAACAAUUCCACAACAAUAGUCCUUGUUGCAUGUGCGAUAGUAAGAAAUUGGGGUGCAACUGUUUCAGAUUCUCCAAAUUAUCUAAUAUGAUUGGCCCAAUUCGAAGGCGCAAUCCAAUGUUCCGUCCAUUCAAGUUGGCGAACAUAUGUACUAUCUCACUAGGGAUCCAGCACUAAAGUCAGGCACCACCCUCAUCCCAACCGUUGGAAUCCAUCCAAUGGUCCUCCGUAUAGGGUGUCGCGUUCACUAGAGGCGGUUAUAAUCAAAAUUUGGAUCAUUU